AGCCCCCUCGUCUAGCGGUUAAGGAUGGCAGGCUCUGAACCUGCAGACACUGGUUCGAAUCCGGUGGGGGCUA
Molecule: transfer RNA, 73 nt
Filed under: Candidatus Magasanikbacteria bacterium CG10_big_fil_rev_8_21_14_0_10_43_6
Lineage: Bacteria; Candidatus Magasanikiibacteriota
Description: tRNA-Gln
Rfam family: tRNA
About the family: Transfer RNA (tRNA) molecules are approximately 80 nucleotides in length.
Source: RNAcentral